This 460-nucleotide ribosomal RNA is filed under the name uncultured bacterium. RNAcentral's name for it is "partial 16S ribosomal RNA". It matches the Rfam family "Bacterial small subunit ribosomal RNA", at positions 338 to 795 of the family's 1533-position model. The record is from RNAcentral.
CCUACGGGAGGCAGCAGUGAGGAAUAUUGGUCAAUGGACGCAAGUCUGAACCAGCCAUGCCGCGUGCAGGAAGACGGCUCUAUGAGUGUUAAACUGCUUUUGUAGGAGGGUAAACGCAGAUACGCGUAUCUGUCUGAAAGUAUCGUACGAGUAAGGAUCGGCUAACUCCGUGCCAGCAGCCGCGGCAAUACGGAGGAUUCAAGCGUUGUCCGGAUUUAUUGGGUUUAAAGGGUGCGUAGGCGGUCGGAUAAGUUAGAGGUGAAAUCCCGAGGCUCAACUUCGGAAUUGCCGCUGAUACUGUUCGGCUAGAGAGUAGUUGCGGUAGGCAGAAUGUAUGGUGUAGCGGUGAAAUGCGUAGAGAUCAGACAGAACACCGAUUGCGAAGGCAGCUUACCGAGCUACUUCUGACGUUGAGGCGCGAAAGCGUGGGGAGCAAACAGGAUUAGAUACCCUUGUAGUC